RNAcentral lists this long non-coding RNA (399 nucleotides) under Olea europaea (common olive). RNAcentral's name for it is "long non-coding RNA (OEUR_LNC000895)". Lineage: Eukaryota; Viridiplantae; Streptophyta; Magnoliopsida; Lamiales; Oleaceae. The record is from RNAcentral.
UCGGGUCUUAGUUUAUCCGAUCGGUGACUGGUUUGGUCGGAAUUGUAGCUUUUAUGUUCGAUUUGGUCUUGAAAAAAUCAAAAUUUAAUGACGAUUUUGGUCUGAAAAAUUCCACCAACACUCUAAUACCAGAUGUAAGAUGUGAAACUUGAUCACCAAAGUUCUUUCCAGGCUCAGAGCAUCGAAUCAAUCCACACCUCAAUGAAUAAAAUCGAACCAAAAACCCUUAACAUCUCACACUUAUGGUUGCUUAUUUUUAACCCACAAAGGACACACUAAAGAAGGUAUAAUCAAAGAUGCGAUCGGCCACUAAGGUAAGAAAGAGGAAAGAAAGCCGUGGACCAAGAAUCACAUAGAAGAACCACGAUUUUUCUCAAAAUGCAGACGAAUUAAUGAAAA